UUGGUGGUCCUCUCUUUGUAAUGUUGAUCUGCAACUUGGUUUGAAGAAUUAUGCUACUAUUCUUUCUUCUUUAUUUUUCUACAACCUAUUUUCACAACGUAAUUGUUCUGUUAAUGUAUCAUGUGGUAUUGGCAGAGCAAGUUUUACAUGGAUUUGGUGUGUUACAAAAGUCUUCAUCUUUCACAAUCAACCUACACCUUUUCAAUUAGCUUCCUGGAAUGUAGAACAUUGGAGAUGAGUUUCUUUGCCGUUUUUCUGUGAACAAAUUAACAAG
RNAcentral lists this long non-coding RNA (274 nucleotides) under Trifolium pratense (red clover). RNAcentral's name for it is "long non-coding RNA (TPRA_LNC003155)". Lineage: Eukaryota; Viridiplantae; Streptophyta; Magnoliopsida; Fabales; Fabaceae. The record is from RNAcentral.